RNAcentral lists this ribosomal RNA (498 nucleotides) under uncultured bacterium. RNAcentral's name for it is "partial 16S ribosomal RNA". It matches the Rfam family "Bacterial small subunit ribosomal RNA", at positions 28 to 507 of the family's 1533-position model. The record is from RNAcentral.
GACGAACGCUGGCGGCGUGCCUAAUACAUGCAAGUCGAACGAGAGCAACCGGUGCUUGCCCUGGUCAAUCUAGUGGCGAACGGGUGAGUAACACGUGGGUAACCUGCCCAUCAGAGGGGGAUAACAUCCGGAAACGGAUGCUAAAACCGCAUAGGUCUUCGAACCGCAUGGUUUGAAGAGGAAAAGAGGCGCACGCUUCUGCUGAUGGAUGGACCCGCGUUGCAUUAGCUAGUUGGUGAGGUAACGGCUCACCAAGGCCGUGAUGCAUAGCCGACCUGAGAGGGUGAUCGGCCACAUUGGGACUGAGACACGGCCCAGACUCCUACGGGAGGCAGCAGUAGGGAAUCUUCCGCAAUGGACGCAAGUCUGACGGAGCAACGCCGCGUGAGUGAAGAAGGUUUUCGGAUCGUAAAACUCUGUUGUUAGAGAAGAACAAGUGCUAGAGUAACUGUUAGCGCCUUGACGGUAUCUAACCAGAAAGCCACGGCUAACUACGUG